GACGAACGCUGGCGGCGUGCCUAAUACAUGCAAGUAGAACGCUGAAGGAGGAGCUUACUUCUCUGGAUGAGUUGCGAACGGGUGAGUAACGCGUAGGUAACCUGCCUGGUAGCGGGGGAUAACUAUUGGAAACGAUAGCUAAUACCGCAUAAGAGUAGAUGUUGCAUGACAUUUACUUAAAAGGUGCAAUUGCACCACUACCAGAUGGACCUGCGUUGUAUUAGCUAGUUGGUGGGGUAACGGCUUACCAAGGCGACGAUACAUAGCCGACCUGAGAGGGUGAGCGGCCACACUGGGACUGGGAAACGGCCCAGACUCCUACGGGGGGCAGCAGUAGGGAAGCUUCGGCAAUGGACGGAAGUCUGACCGAGAAACGCCGCGUGAGUGAAGAAGGUUUUCGGAUCGUAAAGCUCUGUUGUAAGAGAAGAACGAGUGUGAGAGUGGAAAGUUCACACUGUGACGGUAUCUUACCAGAAAGGGACGGCUAACUACGUGCCAGCCGCCGCCGUAA
This 511-nucleotide ribosomal RNA is filed under the name uncultured bacterium. RNAcentral describes it as "partial 16S ribosomal RNA". It matches the Rfam family "Bacterial small subunit ribosomal RNA", at positions 28 to 523 of the family's 1533-position model. The record is from RNAcentral.